AUUUGGAGGCAAUAGCAUCGGAACCCCAUGACUUAAACAUGAUAACAGUGGGAAGUGUGGAUACCUUGUUGCAGGAGGACAAAAGUUUCUUUGACAAAAUCUGUGAAACUAUAGUUUUGGACGAGUGCCCAGAAAUAGUUUAUGAAAAUUCGGCUGAGUGUGAAGAACGAUGUCCGGCAUGUUUCGUAAAGCAACAUUCCCUCCAGACCUGCCAUCGGCUGAUCACGAAAGA
Long non-coding RNA from Lingula anatina, 232 nucleotides. The record is from RefSeq and is a predicted model, not a curated record. Lineage: Eukaryota; Metazoa; Brachiopoda; Lingulata; Lingulida; Lingulidae.